UUGUAUUUUAAUUAGAGUCGGGGUUUCACCAUGUUGCGUAGGCUGCUCUUGAACUCCUGACCUACUUUUGUCGGUUGUUUUCGUAUCAGAUAUACCCAGGGAUAGAGGUAUUACUCUGUUUUCUUCUAACAACAAGAAGUGAAGAUAAUGGGUGCCUAAUAAAUGCAAAUAUAAGGUCAUUUCUGUAGCACAGAAAAAUCUUUUGUGUUUAUCAACAUUCAUGAUUUUUCUUGUUACCUAUGUAUUAUAACUACUUUACUAUAUACACAGAUAUAUUGUCAAUCACAUCUAUAUGAAUUGUGGAUAUGACUUACUUGAUUAUUCUACCUUAAUUUAUAAGGAAUGACUAUCUCAGGAAGCAUGACUAGAAAGCAGAUGUAGUUGAAGUCAAUGUUUUCUCUGACUUCAGUUUGAAAUGGAACAUCAAGAAGUAUGUAUUAAACAUCUGCUAUGUGAUAGGCACUGUACUAAUUGAUAUUUUAUUUCUAUGGAUAGUGGCCUUUCCAGGGGUAUUCCUGUGGGAGGGGAGGGGGAUAAGGAAGGGAAGAGGCUCAAAUGAUUCUACCUGCUGUUCCCAUGGUUAUUGGUCUGGUUAUCCAGCACACUGGUGAAAAGGUGGAGGUCUUGCUCAUAUUUGUGGUACAGUUUUUUUGGCUUUUCUGUCUUGCUUCUCUAGAGUAUCUCUGUUAGGGCACUUGUUAACUAAAUAUUUCACAUCUGGUCUUCUGAACGUCUUCAGUCUUUGGUGUUUACAGUACUUCUUAUGAAGUUAUAAAUUUUACUUUCUUUGCAGGUGUCAUUUAUGCAAUAUGUUUUGGACUCAAUUUUUUUUAAAACUUACAAACUUCCAAUAAUCCAACGAAAGUGCCAGAAUAAGGCCAUUUCUGGUAAAUUGAAGAGCUUCCUGGUAUUUCAAGCAAUCCAGGUAAGAGACACAGAAAACUGUAAAUGAUGCAAAAACAGCUGAACUGAAUAUGAGAGAUGUUCAAGAGUUAUGACCUGAGAAGAUGUCCCCGCCAUCAAUAGACAUUGCAGGAUGUGAUACCACUCUGGAGGACUUUGAAGUUUCUGGAUUUGGUUGAAGAAAGAUGCUUUGGACAUUUUGAAUUUGAGAUGCUUCUCCAGAAGUCUUAUGGAUCUGAAGCAUGGGAGAGGAGUAUAAGCUGGGGAAAUAAGUUUGGGGGUUACCAGAAAACUAGCAGUGGGUAAGGCCAUGAGCAAAUGAAAUCAAAUAGAGGAUGAAGAGAACAGGAGCCCUAGCAAACCUUGACAGUUAAAGAGUAUGCAGGGAAAAGGACUUAGAAAGGACCCUGUAAAGAAAGAUCCAAGAUGACCUGAAGAACUGAGAGAGCCUCUCUGUUAUUUAGGGUGACAUAAAUAGCGUCUGGAAGCAGGACCUGAAGUAGGAUCAGUUUUGGACAGAGCUGGCAAUUCUUGGUACCAGUAUGCAGCACUUACAGGAGCCCUUUGAGCUCUCCACUUUCACGGCUCGCCUCUUCUGCCCUGGUGCCAGGAUCUAUUUUUGUCAUCACCAGCCAGGAAGGAUACAAGGCCUCUUCCAAGAUGAAGACGAAACUAUUGACAGAUAUUUUGUCAAGACCAAAUUUUCCCUAAGGGCCCUGUCAUAGAUUGUUCCCUGGGCAGGAUGCAGCCUCCUUCAGAGAGUGAAGAACACACCAAAAGAUCCUCUACUAAAUUAAUCAUAAGCCACAUGAGGCAGGCUGGAAUACAGUUACCAAUCUGCUUUAAUUCUCCCACUUAGAUGGCCUGAAGCCGCCUGAACUGAAAGUUGGAUGAAGCUCGGCUUUGAGUUUCAUCGCGGGGCAUCGUGUGGCCUAAGUCCUUAGCCAAUGCCUGCCAAAUAUUAGCUUGAGUCGCAAUAAAGAGAAAAGGUCCAAAUUCUC
RNAcentral lists this long non-coding RNA (1904 nucleotides) under Homo sapiens (human). RNAcentral's name for it is "HSALNT0327549". Lineage: Eukaryota; Metazoa; Chordata; Mammalia; Primates; Hominidae. The record is from RNAcentral.